Molecule: long non-coding RNA, 2506 nt
Filed under: Gallus gallus (chicken)
Lineage: Eukaryota; Metazoa; Chordata; Aves; Galliformes; Phasianidae
Description: lncRNA (ENSGALG00010001050.1)
Source: RNAcentral
GGAUGACACUAACCUGCUGUAAAAAAAAAAAAAAAGAUAAAAAUUAACAAAAAUCCAUCUGUACGCCAUAUUUUGUAAGCUGUAUUGCUUAAACAGCAACAAAUGUGGUUCUUAUCAACUGAAAAUGUUACAGUUUUUAAAAUUAUUCUUUGUGUCACAUAUAUAUGACUAAAGCCUGAUUAGAUUUUAGACAAAUACCAAGAGAUUUUCAUACACUUUGUCAAGAUAUCUGAUGAAAAGUGGAAAAUUUAUUGGUUAGUGACCAAUCUAAAAUAAUGAAAUGCCUAAUGAAUUCCCAGGAAGAAAUCUAUGCAAAACCUCUCUUGCCUUGAAAUACACAUGCACCCCUUCCUCAGACUCCAUGACUAGACAUUAUUUACUUAAAACUGGGAUUUAUUUACUUCACUUCAUUUUUCACUUUUUAAAUAAUCACUUGUCUGUUUAAGAUUAAACCUACCUACUAUUCUGUGGAAUUGUGCUCCACAGAUCAAAUUCAUUUUGCAUAUGCAUUUUUGCAUUAAUGUGAUUGCUUAGUUAAACCAGUGACUUCUGGCCAGAAAGUAUCUUAUACUAUAUAUUCAGCAGAAAGAAACCAUAAUGAAAUUUUCAGUAAGACUUGAUGGAAUUGAGCAUGCUCAGGCAAUAAGCUAGAAAUCUAAUUUCUAAUUUCUUACUUAUAGUCUAUGAAUAUGGAAGGUGUCAUGGAGUUAUCUCUAGAUCUCUCUGUGUCCGUGACAGUGGGACAGCAGGCCCACAGGCCCACUGGCCUGAAAAGGGGGGGGGAUGUGGGGGGAAUGUCAACCAUUUACGGGCCAGUUUGGCUCAGUACUGUGACUAAUGGGGUAGUGGAUCUAUGGACUCAUGCCCUGAGAAAAGGGGAAGGGAAAGAAAGGGAAAGGGUAGUGAGACUGGAGAUGGGCCUAAACAAUAUAACAGCAGCAAUGAUCUGAGGAGGAAAGUUAAUUUACUAAAUAUGAUAUUGGAAUGCAAGACAACACAGUAUAAUAUGGUAUAAUUGGAAUUGAGGCUAAUAAAACAAAAAAAGAAGAGAGAAGGAGUGUCCGAAAUUGAAGGCCUUACUCUGAAUUGAAGGCAAAAUGGCUGGGGAGCACACACACUGCCAGGCAAUGAGAAAGAGAAAGAGACCAGUCUCAUGACUUGCCAGGAGUUCUAUCUUUCCUUCUGGAUGCAAAGUCCUUUGGGAUGCAACUGAACAAUCCUUGUAACAUGAAAAGGAAUCAAAUAAAAAACAGACAGACAAGAACCCAUAGGAAAAAAAAAAAAAAAAAAUGUAUAAUUAGAGACAUACUAGUAAGAAGUUGCUAAGAAAGUAUAAAAUGUGCAUAUGUACACACUUUCACUAUACAUAUAUUGCUAUGACCUGGAUUUCUGGGGCUUCUGAAGAGUAGUAAAAAUAUGCAUGGCAGAGAAUGCAUUAAGAUUUUGCUGAAUUACAAAUGAAAAACAUCCUCCAGAUACUCUGUAUUAAAGCUACUUAAAAGAAAAUUAGAUAGAUAAAAGAAAAUUUCUAAGAUGAAUGAACAGGUUAACAGAAAAUAUAUACUUUGAUAAAUUGUCCAAAGAGUAGAUGUAUGAACACAGUGAAGAAAAAGAUCCUUCUGUGGCACAAAAAAAAAGAGCUGUUAUAAUAAGGAUCUCAAAAUUUAGCCAUGGGGAGAAUACAUCAGGGUUGUGAAGAGUGAGAACAGGACCCUGCAGUUAUAGAGAGAAGGGCCUCAGAGCAAGAAAAGGGAAAGUAGCUUCACAAAGUAGAAAUAAGGAGCAAAUAGAGAUAGUUUAUGUAAGGAGUGUUAGAAAACAAGGGAUUCCAAGCACUUUCACAGACACUAGGUCUGGAAUAUCAAGGAGGAUGAAGGCCAUAAAGAUAAGGACUGGAGAGCAGCUCAAAAACAUUUGGCAGGGAGGUGAUUAGAUGUCUACAGGGCAAGUUGAAACCGGUUCAGGAGAUGCCCCCCCUUUGGGGGCAGAAGUUUGCAGCAAGGAAGGCUACGAGCCUUCGCGAGGAAGACUAUGAGCCUUCAUCAUCAUGACCUACUACGCACGCGCAAGGGGGGGGAGGGACUGCAUGCUAAUGGGCUCUCGGGAAUGUAAUGAAUAUGUAUCCGAAUUCCUGUCAACUAUUGAUUAUGUAUUAGUUCGAUCUAUAUCUAUAGCACGAUUUCUCCUGAUGGUGUACAAGUUAGGUGGAGCGAUCCCCCUUGCACCAGGGUGUACGUGCGUCACCAAUAAACACAUGCCUACUCUGUAUCCUUACCGGCUAUAGGGUCUGAUUUCCACACGUCAGUUGAUCAUAACUAAUUACAUUACAGGCAGUUGACUGCCUAUAGAUUAUGUAAAUAUAACUGUAAACCUCACAUACCUGAGUUGCUCAAUUACAUUUCUUCAGUAUCAGGUAUGCAAAAUCCGCGUAUUGAUACAAAAUUUACUAUUACUUAGUUAUCAUUAAAUAAAUUAUGUAUUUUACCACUAUUUAGUCUGAUAGCUU